Non-coding RNA from Cercophora scortea, 93 nucleotides. Lineage: Eukaryota; Fungi; Ascomycota; Sordariomycetes; Sordariales; Lasiosphaeriaceae. The record is from the annotation of a GenBank genome assembly.
GCCCGUCGAGCUCAGUGGUAGUAGCGUCGCACUUGUACUGUAACCCUAACCCGGGAGAUGCGAAGGUCAUUGGUUCAAUCCCAGUGUCGGGCA